CUACGUGCCAGCAGCCGCGGUAAUACGUAGGUCCCGAGCGUUGUCCGGAUUUAUUGGGCGUAAAGCGAGCGCAGGCGGUUAGAUAAGUCUGAAGUUAAAGGCUGUGGCUUAACCAUAGUACGCUUUGGAAACUGUUUAACUUGAGUGCAAGAGGGGAGAGUGGAAUUCCAUGUGUAGCGGUGAAAUGCGUAGAUAUAUGGAGGAACACCGGUGGCGAAAGCGGCUCUCUGGCUUGUAACUGACGCUGAGGCUCGAAAGCGUGGGGAGCAAACAGGAUUAGAUACCCUGGUAGUCCACGCCGUAAACGAUGAGUGCUAGGUGUUAGACCCUUUCCGGGGUUUAGUGCCGUAGCUAACGCAUUAAGCACUCCGCCUGGGGAGUACGACCGCAAGGUUGAAACUCAAAGGAAUUGACGGGGGCCCGCACAAGCAGUGGAGUACGUGGUUUAAUUCGAUGCAACGCGAAGAACCUUACCAGGGCU
RNAcentral lists this ribosomal RNA (481 nucleotides) under uncultured bacterium. Its description in RNAcentral is "bacterial SSU rRNA". It matches the Rfam family "Bacterial small subunit ribosomal RNA", at positions 501 to 981 of the family's 1533-position model. The record is from RNAcentral.